Glycine soja is the source of this 1700-nucleotide long non-coding RNA. RefSeq lists it as uncharacterized. The transcript has 2 exons. The record is from RefSeq and is a predicted model, not a curated record. Lineage: Eukaryota; Viridiplantae; Streptophyta; Magnoliopsida; Fabales; Fabaceae.
CACGUGCAUAUGCGCGUGUCUGUGUCUGUGUACCUUACUAUAUGAGUGAAGAAGUCUACGGUGAUUUACUGCAUCAUGUACACCUUCAGGUGGGUCACAUGCAUCAGCUAAAAACAAUUCCAAAAAUAUCUCUAUAUUAAAUAAAAUUGCAAAAGUGGUUCUGUUAGAUCUCCCCAAGAAAAAAGUAUAUACCAUUAUCAACCUCGACUAAGUGAGUACUGUAAGUCAUAGACACACAUUUGAAAAUUCACGUUAUUGCUGCAGAAUAUCAAUAGUUUGAGGAGUUCUUGGUUAUCAAUAUCCAUGUUGGGUUAUGCCUAUAAAUAUAAUUAGAUGCAGAUGCUAUAUAGUUGAAUCAUAGUACAAGGAAUUGGAAUUAAUAAAACUUGUGCAACGGUAAGUAUUAACAGAUGCAUGGAUUCUCAUCCAACGCAUGAUGGUGGGAACACUUCUGAUUUAUAGAGUAAUAGAGUAUUAACGAUUAAGGAUAGUAACAAUGAUAUACGGGGACCCCAUUAUUACAAACUCUCAUUUGAGAUCUCUUAUAUCUUUUUCCUCUCUCUUUUUUUAUAUAUCGUAUUACCUUAAUUAUAUAUCUAUGCACUUUUCUCUUUUUUAUCUUCUUCACUCGUAAGAUUGAUGUCAGGUAGCUUGAGAGAUAUGCAUGCCACACAUCCAUGAUCUCCAACGGAAAUGAAGAGGAAGAAGAGGUGGUGUAAGAAAUAAGAAACUAAAAAAGAGACUAUAGCGGAACAACUCAUGGGACCCCUAGCUUCUUCGGAUAGAAUCAUCCUAAGCAUAGGGGAGGAGAAAGAAUCCUAGUCAAAGCAAAACAACCUUGGUGGCUAAUGUUUGCCAAAAAAUCAGCACUUUUAUUGGCCUCCCUAUAGAUAUGAGAAAUAAAGGGUUGUCAAACUCUCAUCAAAAGCUGAUUCAAAAUACCCUUGAACAAUGGCUUUAACAAGGCUGAUAUGAAAGAACCACGGUGAACAAUGUGAACCACCGCAAGCGAGUCCAUCUCAAAGAUCACAUGAUGAAGGUUGAGCUCCCAGGAAACAUGAAUACGCAUCUUCAAUCGAUAGCAAAGACUGAGAUUAAGAUGGAACGUGGCUCUAGGAUUGCCUAAGGAAUCACAAAUUAGCCCCCCAGAAGCAUCCUGAUUCGAGCUAGAAUAGUAAGAUCUAUCUAUAUUGAUUUUGAACGUCCCAUCAAGAGGUGGUUUCCAUGACACCGAGAUAGUACCUUGGGAAGCAACAUUAUGGCAGAAAUAUAAGGUGAUCCAAAGUCAACGAAAGCAAUACGGGCUUUAAUCUUGUGCAGCAAGUUGAGAGGAAAAUCAAAUUGUUUAUGUCUCUUCAAGGAUUUCUGAAGGUUCAGAGUGAUCCAACUAGAUAGGCCUAUGCCAAUGGUUCAGAUGAAUUAUUGAAGUCAAGAAAGCUUUGGCUACCUCAAUCACGUAAGAAAUGCAUAAUAGACUUCGGAGCGUCAUCGCAUCUAUUCGACAUAUGGCGAUGCUUCCAUUCCUGAUUGAUCAACAAGCAACCAUGCAACAACUUCCAUAAAAGCAACCUACCCUAAAGGCUAACGCUAACUUAAAUGUCAGAAAUAGCGUUAGCUUAAGUCAAUGCUAAGAUCAAAUUAUAUAUAGUGUGUACUUGACCGAUGCAAGUUUUUUUAAAACAUUUUAUUUUAUUUAUGAA